This is a microRNA precursor of Schistosoma mansoni, 78 nucleotides long. It matches the Rfam family "mir-3492 microRNA precursor family". The record is from Rfam. NCBI's taxonomy places the organism in Eukaryota, Metazoa, Platyhelminthes, Trematoda, Strigeidida, Schistosomatidae.
AACUUUCUGAAUCCGUGCCGAGAUUUCAUUAAAUAUCAACCCUCCACUUAUAAUGAGACUUCUGAGAUAAUUGAAGUG